UUACACUGCAAGUCGAACGAUGAACCGGGUGCUUGCACUUGGGGAUUAGUGGCGAACGGGUGAGUAACACGUGAGUAACCUGCCCUGGACUCUGGGAUAACCCCGAGAAAUCGGAGCUAAUACCGGAUAGGACCUUUCCUCGCAUGAGGUUUGGUGGAAAGUUUUUCGGUCUGGGAUGGACUCGCGGCCUAUCAGCUUGUUGGUGAGGUAAUGGCUCACCAAGGCGUCGACGGGUAGCCGGCCUGAGAGGGUGACCGGCCACACUGGGACUGAGACACGGCCCAGACUCCUACGGGAGGCAGCAGUGGGGAAUAUUGCACAAUGGGCGCAAGCCUGAUGCAGCAACGCCGCGUGCGGGAUGACGGCCUUCGGGUUGUAAACCGCUUUUAGUAGGGAAGAAGGGCUUCGGCUUGACGGUACCUGCAGAAAAAGGACCGGCUAACUACGUGCCAGCAGCCGCGGUAAUACGUAGGGUCCGAGCGUUGUCCGGAAUUAUUGGGCGUAAAGAGCUCGUAGGCGGUUUGUCGCGUCUGCUGUGAAAACUAGAGGCUCAACCUCUAGCCUGCAGUGGGUACGGGCAGACUUGAGUGGUGUAGGGGAGACUGGAAUUCCUGGUGUAGCGGUGGAAUGCGCAGAUAUCAGGAGGAACACCGAUGGCGAAGGCAGGUCUCUGGGCACUUACUGACGCUGAGGAGCGAAAGCGUGGGGAGCGAACAGGAUUAGAUACCCUGGUAGUCCACGCCGUAAACGUUGGGCGCUAGAUGUGGGGACCUUUCCACGGUUUCCGUGUCGUAGCUAACGCAUUAAGCGCCCCGCCUGGGGAGUACGGCCGCAAGGCUAAAACUCAAGGAAUUUGACG
This 859-nucleotide ribosomal RNA is filed under the name Agromyces indicus. RNAcentral describes it as "bacterial SSU rRNA". It matches the Rfam family "Bacterial small subunit ribosomal RNA", at positions 49 to 915 of the family's 1533-position model. Lineage: Bacteria; Bacillati; Actinomycetota; Actinomycetes; Micrococcales; Microbacteriaceae. The record is from RNAcentral.